AAACUAAUUUANUUUGGCGGCAAUUCAUUUAAUUAGAGGAAUUUGUCCUUUAAUCGAUAACCCGCGUUAAAUUUCACUUCACUAUAAAAUUUAUAUACCACCAUCUUAAGAAUCAAUAAAAAUAUACUUUCUAAAAAAAAAAUAAAAAGUUAGGUCAAGGUAUAAUUCACAUUGAAGAAUGAGAUGAAUUACAUUAAAUAUUAUUUAAAAAUUAUAAAUUAAUAUAUUUAUAUGAAUAAGGAUUUAAAAGUAAUAUUACAAUAAUAUUACAAUAUGAUAUAAAUAAUAAAUGUGCACACAUCGCCC
This 306-nucleotide ribosomal RNA is filed under the name Draconarius sp. ZZ975. RNAcentral describes it as "partial 12S ribosomal RNA". Lineage: Eukaryota; Metazoa; Arthropoda; Arachnida; Araneae; Agelenidae. The record is from RNAcentral.